GACGAACGCUGGCGGCGUGCCUAAUACAUGCAAGUCGAACGCAGUGGGGACGGGUGAGUGACACGUGGGUAACCUCCCAUCAGAGGGGAUAACCGUUGGAAACAGGUGCAAAACCGAUACUGAUGGAGGAACCCGCGGUGCAUUAGCGAGUUGGUGAGGUAACAGCUCACCAAGGCCACGAUGCAUAGCUGACCUGAGAGGGUGAUCGGCCACACUGGGACUGAGACACGGCCCAGACUCCUACGGGAGGCAGCAGUAGGGAAUCUUCGGCAAUGGACUAAAGUCUGACCGAGCAACGCCGCGUGAGUGAAGAAGGUUUUCGGCUCGUAAAACUCUGUUGUUAGAGAAGCGUUAUCUAACAAGGAAGCCACGGCUAACUACGUGCCAGCAGCCGCGGUAAUUC
RNAcentral lists this ribosomal RNA (403 nucleotides) under uncultured bacterium. RNAcentral's name for it is "partial 16S ribosomal RNA". It matches the Rfam family "Bacterial small subunit ribosomal RNA", at positions 28 to 526 of the family's 1533-position model. The record is from RNAcentral.